This is a long non-coding RNA of Sander lucioperca (pikeperch), 96 nucleotides long. RefSeq lists it as uncharacterized. The record is from RefSeq and is a predicted model, not a curated record. Lineage: Eukaryota; Metazoa; Chordata; Actinopteri; Perciformes; Percidae. The transcript is spliced from 3 exons.
UGUUUUCCUCAUGCCUUAAGGAGCACCAGGAGGAGGCAGAGAAACAUGUUUUUUCCACAGAUUAUCUGAUUUGUGUAAGCAGAUAUUAAAAUAGUU